RNAcentral lists this microRNA precursor (87 nucleotides) under Echinops telfairi (small Madagascar hedgehog). RNAcentral describes it as "microRNA 873 (ENSETEG00000023682.1)". The record is from RNAcentral. Lineage: Eukaryota; Metazoa; Chordata; Mammalia; Afrosoricida; Tenrecidae.
AAGUUUGUGUGCAUUUGCAGGAACUUGUGAGUCUCCUAUUGAAAAUGAACAGGAGAAAGAUGAGUUCCCGGGAACACCCACAAAUCU